GACCCAAGGUGGAGACGCAGGAGGCUUCUGAGCUCCCCUGUCCUGCGGACGCUCCAGCUGCGCGCUAUGCACAGAGCAGUUCCCACUGACAGAGACACAGGAACUAGCGGAGGGGCUCUACACCCCGGGCAGAGAAGAAGAUCCUCAUCAAACGGGACCACAGUUGAAGCUAACAGUGUCUCAACAUUGAAGGAGACUGGUCCUUGGAGGGGAACCACCGCGGGGAGCAGUUCUCCAUAGACAUGUAGACUGCGGGAAUGUACAGGCUACUUUUGAGUUGCGCACAUUUGACCCUUCAGCCAGAGCAAGGCUCUGCCAGAGCUCCGCCCACUGUAAGGGUGGGAAGGUGGCUUCCAAGUAGACUCACUGGAGAUCACCGCUGAACACCUGCUUCAGGCUUCGCCGUCAUCGUUUCAUUCGAUAGUCAAAAUAACCACGUAAUUAGCUAUUAAGUCUUUUUCACAGGUAAGGAAAUCAAGCCUCAGAAAUGGCUGAAAACCCGUCCUAGUGGAAGCCCUGGGAUGUAUGGGAGGCCUGUCUUGACGCUGAGCUCUUUCUACCACAUCACUCACUGCCUUUUCUAGGAAGGCUCCCUGUCUGAAGUCCCCACA
Manis javanica (Malayan pangolin) is the source of this 611-nucleotide long non-coding RNA. RefSeq lists it as uncharacterized. The record is from RefSeq and is a predicted model, not a curated record. NCBI's taxonomy places the organism in Eukaryota, Metazoa, Chordata, Mammalia, Pholidota, Manidae.